AUUGAACGCUGGCGGCAGGCCUAACACAUGCAAGUCGAGCGGAGCGGCGGACGGGUGAGUAAUGUAUGGGGAUCUGCCCGAUAGAGGGGGAUAACUACUCGAAAGAGUGGCUAAUACCGAAUAUUAUUGGAGCGGCCGAUAUCGGAGUAGCUAGUGGGUGGGGUAAAGGCUCACCAAGGCAACGAUCCGUAGCUGGUUUGGGAGGACGACCAGCCACACUGGGACUGAGACACGGCCCAGACUCCUACGGGAGGCAGCAGUGGGGAAUUUUGGACAAUGGGGGAAACCCUGAUCGAGCCAUCCCGCGUGUAUGAUGAAGGCCUUCGGGUUGUAAAGUACUUUUGGCAGAGAAGCGGUAUCUGCAGAAUAAGCACCGGCUAACUACGUGCCAGCCGCCGCGGUAAUUC
RNAcentral lists this ribosomal RNA (407 nucleotides) under uncultured bacterium. Its description in RNAcentral is "partial 16S ribosomal RNA". It matches the Rfam family "Bacterial small subunit ribosomal RNA", at positions 30 to 526 of the family's 1533-position model. The record is from RNAcentral.